This is an RNA transcript of Populus euphratica (Euphrates poplar), 2751 nucleotides long. It is a transcript of the gene named serine hydroxymethyltransferase 7-like, with no coding region annotated. The record is from RefSeq and is a predicted model, not a curated record. NCBI's taxonomy places the organism in Eukaryota, Viridiplantae, Streptophyta, Magnoliopsida, Malpighiales, Salicaceae. The transcript has 6 exons.
ACCGCCUCCCCACUAUAAAACAAAAAUUCUGUAUUGCUAGCUGCCUGAAAGGAUCAUCCACGUAAUUCUCUCUCUCGAAGCACAACGCCCUCAAAAUAAACAAAUGGUCCAUACCCUCUCUCUCUACCUCUCCGCCAAAAAUCAUUCUCUCCAAUCAGAAUUAGGAUCCUGUCGCUGUCAAACCACCACCACCACCACCAGUCCCUGUUCCGUUACUGCCGUUGCAAAGACCCCUCCUGUCCCUGUUUUUGCUGCUGUGCUCUCUGAACUUUCUGAUUUUAUAGAAAAUGGACUCUAAAUUAAAUCUAGGGUUUCACCGUGCACAAAUAGUCGACGAUUCAAUCUCUCUCCAGCUCGACUCUAGCCUCCGCGACCUCCCCACCGCCAACCCGGUUUCACCCGUUCCUCUCCAAUUGCUCGAGCCAGUGACCGAGUCUCACUACUGCAAUAACCAAAACGUCGAGAAAGAAGAAGACGACGAUGACAGAGAUGUCGAGGAGUUUAGGAUAUUAGGGCACUCUUUGUGUUUCAAACGCCGAAGAGAGAGCGAUUCUUUGACGAGCAAUAAAAGAGAGGCAUCCUCCUCUUCUAAUGGAUUGGAUGUUGAAGAGCGCAGGAAUCUUGUCAAAACAUGGGGGAACCAGCCGCUAAGCGCGGCGGAUUCGGAGAUUUUUGAGAUAAUGGAGAAAGAGAAAGAGAGGCAGUUUAAAGGGAUCGAAUUGAUUGCGUCGGAGAAUUUUGUAUGUAGAGCGGUAAUGGAGGCUCUUGGAAGUCAUUUAACGAAUAAGUAUUCUGAGGGAAUGCCUGCAGCGCGAUAUUAUGGUGGGAAUCAGUACAUUGAUGAGAUUGAACUGCUGUGUUGUAAGAGAGCACUGGAGGCUUUUGGUUUGGAUUCUGAGAGUUGGGGAGUAAAUGUGCAGCCGUAUUCGUGUACUUCGGCUAAUUUCGCUGUGUAUACUGGGUUAUUGUUGCCGGGGGAUAGGAUUAUGGGGUUGGACACACCAUCUGGAGGGAAUACGAGUCAUGGCUAUUAUACCCCUCAUGGGCGGAAGGUUUCCGGUGCAUCUAUUUUCUUCGAGAGUUUGCCUUAUAAGGUCAAUCCUCAAACUGGGUAUAUUGAUUUCGAUAAGUUAGAGGAGAGGGCACUUGAUUUUAGGCCAAAAAUACUCAUUUGUGGUGGUAGCUCGUAUCCAAGGGAGUGGGGUUAUGCGAGGUUAAGGCAUAUCGCGGAUAAGUGUGGUGCUGUGCUUAUGUGUGAUAUGGCACAGAUUAGUGGUCUUGUUGCUGCUAAGGUGCACAUUACGAUUCUCUUGUUUUGCUUGUCAAUUCCUGCUUUAAUGUUAAGUCUUGUUGCUGCUAAGGAAUGUCUGAACCCCUUUGUUUACUGUGAUAUUGUUACCUCAACAACCCAUAAAAGUCUUCGAGGUCCAAGGGGAGGCAUCAUUUUCUAUAGGAAGGAUACAAAACCAAGGAAAAGGGGGAUCCAUCUAGGUCAAGGAGAUGAGAGUGAUCAAUAUGAUUUCGAGGAUAAGAUUAAUUUUGCUGUUUUUCCAUCAUUGCAAGGUGGACCACAUAAUAACCACAUCGCUGCUCUUGCCAUAGCCUUUAAACAAGUGGCUACCCCUGAGUACAAGGCAUACAUGCAACAGGUGAAGAAAAACGCACAGUAUUUAGCAGCUGCUUUACUGAGAAGAAAAUGCAGGCUAGUAACUGGAGGCACAGAUAACCAUUUGCUACUCUGGGAUCUCAGGCCUUUGGGAUUAACAGGUAAAGCUUAUGAAAAGGUCUGCGAGUUGUGCCACAUCACAGUAAAUAAAAUUGCUAUUUUUGGGGAGAAUGGAACUAUUACUCCUGGAGGUGUAAGGAUUGGCACUCCUGCCAUGACUUCAAGAGGUUGCCUGGAAUCUGAUUUUGAGACAAUUGCUGAUUUUCUCCUGAAAGCUGCACAUAUUGCUUGUAUGGUGCUGCGUGAACAUGGGAAGCUGCAGAAGGCUUUCAUGAAUGGUCUGCAAACCAAGAAAGAAAUUUUAGAGCUCCAGAAGCAAGUUGAAAAUUUUGCAACUCAGUUUGCAAUGCCAGGUUUUGACAUGUGAAUGGGUUUUGGGAAUGAAAUAUUUGAAGUGCCUCCCUGAGCUCUUUUAAACCUGGCAGUCAUCCCUUUGCGCCUCAUUUUGUUGGCUCCAGACAACAAACAGUCCUGGGCUUCUAUAGACAACAGUUUUGGUUACAUCUUCUGUGGUUGCCAACCUCCUGAAAUUGCAAGAUGUCAUAUUGCCACAGGGAGGGAUUUUGCCCUGUUGAUGGAUAAUAACAGGAUCUUGUUGGCUACAAACCCUUUGUCCUCUUGUAACCAGACAGCAGCAUCACCUCUCUGAUCGCUCUGGUAAAAAUGGUGGCCUGACCCUGGAAAAAGAGUAGGCCUGAUAUGAUAUACAGUUGAUCUUCGAUCUCUUGUAAUGCUACUGUCAUCACAUUUUGUCUGGAGCCAUUGUUGCUAUAGCUUGGAAUAAUUUUGUCUCAGGAUGCAGCUGUUUAGUUCGCUACCAUCUCUCUCAGAAUGAUAGACAGACUUUAGGUUUAAGCAACUGGUGGAUGAUAGAUGUUGCAGAUUUUUAGCGAUGCACAUUCCUCAUACUGGAUCAUUUCAUAUUGGUGUUCAACUCUUUAGGUGUAUCCAUGACUGUCAACUUCUUUUGAAGGUAUUCAUUUGAACAUAUGAUCUGGUCUCAUAUUGUUUUUGCGUCUUAUGGA